UAGGGAAUCUUCCGCAAUGGGCGAAAGCUUGACGGAGCAACGCCGCGUGAGUGAUGAAGGUCUUCGGAUCGUAAAACUCUGUUAGUAGGGAAGAACAAAUGUGUAAGUAACUAUGCACGUCUUGACGGUACCUAAUCAGAAAGCCACGGCUAACUACGUGCCAGCAGCCGCGGUAAUACGUAGGUGGCAAGCGUUAUCCGGAAUUAUUGGGCGUAAAGCGCGCGUAGGCGGUUUUUUAAGUCUGAUGUGAAAGCCCACGGCUCAACCGUGGAGGGUCAUUGGAAACUGGGAAACUUGAGUGCAGAAGAGGAAAGUGGAAUUCCAUGUGUAGCGGUGAAAUGCGCAGAGAUAUGGAGGAACACCAGUGGCGAAGGCGACUUUCUGGUCUGUAACUGACGCUGAUGUGCGAAAGCGUGGGGAUCAAACAGG
Molecule: ribosomal RNA, 429 nt
Filed under: Actinomycetes bacterium
Lineage: Bacteria; Bacillati; Actinomycetota; Actinomycetes
Description: Actinobacteria bacterium partial 16S ribosomal RNA
Rfam family: Bacterial small subunit ribosomal RNA
Source: RNAcentral